RNAcentral lists this ribosomal RNA (444 nucleotides) under uncultured bacterium. Its description in RNAcentral is "bacterial SSU rRNA". It matches the Rfam family "Bacterial small subunit ribosomal RNA", at positions 35 to 524 of the family's 1533-position model. The record is from RNAcentral.
CAAGCUGGCGGCAGCUUAACACAUGCAGUCGAGCGAGACCUUCGGGUCUAGCGGCGGACGGGUGAGUAACGCGUGGGAACGUGCCCUUCUCUACGGAAUAGCCCCGGGAAACUGGGAGUAAUACCGUAUACGCCCUUUGGGGGAAAGAUUUAUCGGAGAAGGAUCGGCCCGCGUUGGAUUAGGUAGUUGGUGGGGUAAUGGCCCACCAAGCCGACGAUCCAUAGCUGGUUUGAGAGGAUGAUCAGCCACACUGGGACUGAGACACGGCCCAGACUCCUACGGGAGGCAGCAGUGGGGAAUCUUAGACAAUGGGGGCAACCCUGAUCUAGCCACGCCGCGUGAGUGAUGAAGGCCUUAGGGUUGUAAAGCUCUUUCAGCUGGGAAGAUAAUGACGGUACCAGCAGAAGAAGCCCCGGCUAACUCCGUGCCAGCAGCCGCGGUAAU